RNAcentral lists this long non-coding RNA (376 nucleotides) under Vitis vinifera (wine grape). Its description in RNAcentral is "long non-coding RNA (VVIN_LNC003409)". Lineage: Eukaryota; Viridiplantae; Streptophyta; Magnoliopsida; Vitales; Vitaceae. The record is from RNAcentral.
CUUUGAGGGUCGCCCAAUCUUGAACCCGAUGAUGAAGCAUCGCAUCGGACCAAUCUAUUAAGGUUUAUUACUACUCUCUUCUUUGAGAAGAUCAGCAUACAUCACCCUUCUACAUGAGCGCCAUAUUGUUUAGUGUCCUUUGCAGGCAGGUAGUGGAACCAGCAACCAACGGAUCCCACCCAAGAGAUUCACACUGUGAGUAUAGUUAGAUGACAUCUAUAUAUUAAAUUGAUUGAUCAUAUUAUAUUUGCGUAGAAGAUGUUCAUCUUUUGAUGAGUUGUGCUUCAUUUUGAUUUUCUAAACAGACCUUGUCGGCUGUGUAACUGUGUUGCAUUAGAAGCAUCCGUGACUCAGAAUAUGAGCCUUCAUGACAUCA